GAUGAACGCUGGCGGCGUGCCUAAUACAUGCAAGUCGAGCGAACAGACGAGGAGCUUGCCCCUCUGACGUUAGCGGCGGACGGGUGAGUAACACGUGGAUAACCUACCUAUAAGACUGGGAUAACUUCGGGAAACCGGAGCUAAUACCGGAUAAUAUAUUGAACCGCAUGGUUCAAUAGUGAAAGACGGUUUUGCUGUCACUUAUAGAUGGAUCCGCGCCGCAUUAGCUAGUUGGUAAGGUAACGGCUUACCAAGGCAACGAUGCGUAGCCGACCUGAGAGGGUGAUCGGCCACACUGGAACUGAGACACGGUCCAGACUCCUACGGGAGGCAGCAGUAGGGAAUCUUCCGCAAUGGGCGAAAGCCUGUCGGAGCAACGCCGCGUGAGUGAUGAAGGUCUUCGGAUCGUAAAACUCUGUUAUUAGGGAAGAACAAAUGUGUAAGUAACUAUGCACGUCUUGACGGUACCUAAUCAGAAAGCCACGGCUAACUACGUG
RNAcentral lists this ribosomal RNA (497 nucleotides) under uncultured bacterium. Its description in RNAcentral is "partial 16S ribosomal RNA". It matches the Rfam family "Bacterial small subunit ribosomal RNA", at positions 28 to 507 of the family's 1533-position model. The record is from RNAcentral.